ACAUCUGGAGAGGACUCCUUCAAUGGAACAGAAGAAUUCAACAAAGUGACACAUCCGUGUUCAAAUUAGCCACAGACACUGCGAUGUGACAGCCGCUGCUUUCUUCCAAGUAUCAGAAGCAAUGCUGGGGGUUUGAAGCAAUUAGAACAAUUUCCUUCCUGGGAAUGGGUUGCCAGGGAUGAUACCCAGAACUUCGUGCAUGUUAGGAGAAGCUCUACCCCGGCUUACACCUCCAGUUCUCUGAAUUCUAUAAGUCAGAUGUCUGGGCAACAUGUGACUUCAAUCUUCCCUCGGCACCAGUGGAUGUUACACAGAGGUGCCACAUACAUGGGCCAUGCCACCUCUGCCUGUGUUGGGUGCUUUGACAAGAUUACAGGUUAAUACUGUGAGGCUUUCUAAGAGCUCAUGCCCUCUCCAGCCCACAUUCUUGGGCUAACAUGGCUUUUCAAAUUGCAAUGACUUUCCCAAUCCUAUGGAGUUCCACCUCACUGCUCCCCCAACAUUGUGAAAGAACUGAAAGACACACAGUAAUUAAAUGCCAUAAAUAAUCAAGGGCAC
Molecule: long non-coding RNA, 558 nt
Filed under: Rattus norvegicus (Norway rat)
Lineage: Eukaryota; Metazoa; Chordata; Mammalia; Rodentia; Muridae
Description: long non-coding RNA NONRATT014091
Source: RNAcentral